CCUGAACCUCAGUGCUAGGAUUCUUCUCCGGGUACAGUUCUGAGGCGAGAGCGUGACUAACGGGAAAUCCCCAGCAAGCUCCAGCUGAAAGGCUACAGAGGUCUUGGACCCUGGGUUGGGGUUCCCUAUGGACUGCGCGGCCGCUGCGGGAAGCAAGCUGGGUCCCCCCAGAGCCUGCGGCAGGUGAGACCGCCCCUCCUCAGUCCAGUCCGAUAGACGCAAAGACACGAACCCUCUCCCCCUGGAAUGAGAACAGAAAUAUGGCUGCAGAAUAAACGCUCCUUUUAGCGGUACUUGCAGCUUCUGAAUCUGGGGAACUUUUAGGAUACCCGUAUCUCUUCAAAAGUCCAUCUCUACCCGUCUCUUCAAGUCGGGUUUUCUCUGGGU
Meriones unguiculatus (Mongolian gerbil) is the source of this 387-nucleotide long non-coding RNA. RefSeq lists it as uncharacterized. The record is from RefSeq and is a predicted model, not a curated record. Lineage: Eukaryota; Metazoa; Chordata; Mammalia; Rodentia; Muridae. The transcript is spliced from 3 exons.